AGAGUUUGAUCAUGGCUCAGAACGAACGCUGGCGGCGUGCUUAACACAUGCAAGUCGAGUGCGCGCCUGUAGCAAUACAGGUGGCGCACGGCGCACGGGUGCGUAACACGUGGGUAAUCUGCCCUCUGAUGGGGAAUAACUCGCCGAAAGGCGAGCUAAUUCCGCAUAAUAUUCCGAGAACUUUGGUUUUUGGACUGAAAGGCGUAAGUCGUCGGGGGAGGAGCCCGCGCACGAUUAGCUAGUUGGUAGGGUAAUGGCCUACCAAGGCUUUGAUCGUUAGCUGGUCUGAGAGGAUGGCCAGCCACACUGGAACUGAGACACGGUCCAGACUCCUACGGGAGGCAGCAGUGGGGAAUCUUGCACAAUGGGCGAAAGCCUGAUGCAGCGACGCCGCGUGGGGGAUGAAGCUUCUCGGAGUGUAAACCCCUUUCGAUCCGGACGAAACCCCGCAAGGGAUUGACGGUACGGAUAUAAGAAGCCCCGGCUAACUACGUGCCAGCAGCCGCGGUAAUACGUAGGGGGCCAGCGUUGUUCGGAAUUACUGGGUGUAAAGGGUUCGUAGGCGGUGCGGCAAGUUGGGAGUGAAAUCUCUGGGCUUAACCCAGAGACGGCUUCCAAAACUGCUGUGCUUGAGUGUGGGAGAGGCUCGUGGAAUUGCAGGUGUAGCGGUGAAAUGCGUAGAUAUCUGCAGGAACACCCGUGGCGAAAGCGGCGAGCUGGACCACUACUGACGCUGAAGAACGAAAGCUAGGGGAGCAAACAGGAUUAGAUACCCUAGUAGUCC
This 784-nucleotide ribosomal RNA is filed under the name uncultured bacterium. RNAcentral describes it as "bacterial SSU rRNA". It matches the Rfam family "Bacterial small subunit ribosomal RNA", at positions 8 to 796 of the family's 1533-position model. The record is from RNAcentral.